GAUGAACGCUGGCGGCGUGCCUAAUACAUGCAAGUCGAGCGAACGGACGAGAAGCUUGCUUUUCUGAUGUUAGCGGCGGGCGGGUGAGUAACACGUGGAUAACCUACCUAUAAGACUGGGAUAACUUCGGGAAACCGGAGCUAAUACCGGAUAAUAUUUUGAACCGCAUGGUUCAAAAGUGAAAGACGGUCUUGCUGUCACUUAUAGAUGGAUCCGCGCUGCAUUAGCGAGUUGGUAAGGUAACGGCUUACCAAGGCAACGAUGCAUAGCCGACCUGAGAGGGUGAUCGGCCACACUGGAACUGAGACACGGUCCAGACUCCUACGGGAGGCAGCAGUAGGGAAUCUUCCGCAAUGGGCGAAAGCCUGACGGAGCAACGCCGCGUGAGUGAUGAAGGUCUUCGGAUCGUAAAACUCUGUUAUUAGGGAAGAACAUAUGUGUAAGUAACUGUGCACAUCUUGACGGUACCUAAUCAGAAAGCCACGGCUAACUACGUG
RNAcentral lists this ribosomal RNA (497 nucleotides) under uncultured bacterium. RNAcentral describes it as "partial 16S ribosomal RNA". It matches the Rfam family "Bacterial small subunit ribosomal RNA", at positions 28 to 507 of the family's 1533-position model. The record is from RNAcentral.